GACGAACGCUGACGGCGUGCUUAACACAUGCAAGUCGAAGGGAGUGGCGAACGGGUGAGUAACGCGUGAGUAACCUGCCCUUUUCUUUGGGAUAAGACUGGGAAACUGGGUCUAAUACUGGAUGGAUUUGGAUGGGGUCGGGGCUUAUCAGCUUGUUGGUGGGGUGAGGGCUUACCAAGGCUUUGACGGGUAGCCGGCCUGCGGGGGGGGUCGGUAACACUGGGACGGAGAUACGGCCCCGAGUCGUACGGGAGGGAGCAGUGGGGGAUAUUGCACAAUGGACGAAAGGCUGAUGCAGCGGCGUCGUGUGGGGGAUGAAGGCCUUCGGGUUGUAAACUCCUUUCGCCCGCGGAAUGGUAGUGGGUAAAGAAGCGCCGGCUAACUACGUGCCAGCAGCCGCGGUAAUAC
Molecule: ribosomal RNA, 408 nt
Filed under: uncultured bacterium
Lineage: Bacteria
Description: partial 16S ribosomal RNA
Rfam family: Bacterial small subunit ribosomal RNA
Source: RNAcentral